This 451-nucleotide long non-coding RNA is filed under the name Elaeis guineensis (African oil palm). Its description in RNAcentral is "long non-coding RNA (EGUI_LNC038595)". Lineage: Eukaryota; Viridiplantae; Streptophyta; Magnoliopsida; Arecales; Arecaceae. The record is from RNAcentral.
GGCUAGGUGGAGGGUGGGGAAAUCUAAGACCAAAUAUGAUCCAAAUGCUCUUGAACUCGAUGAAAUAUAGUGACAAAAAUCUCUGUGCUGGUUUGCUAAGAAAUCAUGAUCUCCUCAGCUCAUCAAAGAAUUUUAGCAGCCUCUCCCUUCAACUGAUCAAUCACCUGAGCUGUCCCAAGCUGCCUCUUCUCAAAAAUUUUCAAGCUUUGAAAUAAAUUGCUGAUCUGCCUGCUCAAUGAAUCAAAAAAUCCUUUAGUGGAUGUCCUCUGCUCAUCAAGACUCUGUGAUAUGUACUGCUGAAGAACUGAAGAGUCAGUCCUCUGUUCUGCGAUAGGUCUGUGGUCUACAACUCGCUCCAAGCUCUCAAGCCUCAGUGUGAUUCUGAACAAAUCUCCAUAGAGCUACUGUAUCCGGGACUGAGUGAGCUCCUAAGAUGCCUCGUGGCUCUAUA